RNAcentral lists this ribosomal RNA (301 nucleotides) under uncultured bacterium. RNAcentral describes it as "partial 16S ribosomal RNA". It matches the Rfam family "Bacterial small subunit ribosomal RNA", at positions 509 to 809 of the family's 1533-position model. The record is from RNAcentral.
CAGUCGCCGCGGUAAUACAGAGGAUGCAAGCGUUAUCCGGAAUGAUUGGGCGUAAAGCGAGCGCAGGCGGUUAGAUAAGUCUGAAGUUAAAGGCUGUGGCUUAACCAUAGUACGCUUUGGAAACUGUUUAACUUGAGUGCAAGAGGGGAGAGUGGAAUUCCAUGUGUAGCGGUGAAAUGCGUAGAUAUUGGGAAGAACACCAGUGGCGAAGGCGGCUUUCUGGACUGCAACUGACGCUGAGGCUCGGAAGCCAGGGGAGCGAACGGGAUUAGAUACCCCUGUAGUCCCUGUCUCUUAUACA